UCUUGGUCAUUUAGAGGAAGUAAAAGUCGUAACAAGGUCUCCGUUGGUGAACCAGCGGAGGGAUCAUUACUGAGUACUACACUCUCUACCCUUUGUGAACUAUUAUACCUGUUGCUUCGGCGGCGCCCGCGAGGGUGCCCGCCGGUCUCAUCAGAAUCUCUGUUUUCGAACCCGACGAUACUUCUGAGUGUUCUUAGCGAACUGUCAAAACUUUUAACAACGGAUCUCUUGGCUCCAGCAUCGAUGAAGAACGCAGCGAAACGCGAUAUGUAAUGUGAAUUGCAGAAUUCAGUGAGUCAUCGAAUCUUUGAACGCACAUGGCGCCUUCCAGUAUCCUGGGAGGCAUGCCUGUCCGAGCGUCGUUUCAACCCUCGAGCCCCCGUGGCCCGGCGUUGGGGAUCUGCCACGGCAGGCCCCUAAAACCAGUGGCGGACCCGAAGGCCCUCUCCUUUGCGCAGUAGCAUCAGCCUCGCAUUGGGAUCCCUCGGCGUCCUGCCUCUAAACCCCCCACAAGUCCGCUCCGGCGGCACCAAGGUUGACCUCGGAUCAGGUAGGAAUACCCGCUGAACUUAAGCAUAUCAAUAAGCGGAGGA
RNAcentral lists this ribosomal RNA (593 nucleotides) under uncultured Plectosphaerella. RNAcentral describes it as "eukaryotic LSU rRNA". The stretch from base 209 to 362 matches the Rfam family "5.8S ribosomal RNA". The record is from RNAcentral. Lineage: Eukaryota; Fungi; Ascomycota; Sordariomycetes; Glomerellales; Plectosphaerellaceae.